UCUCUCUCUCUCUCUCUCUCUCUCUCUCUCGCUAAAGCCACGCCCCCUUCCGGUUGCUCGCCCUGGUUUGUUACCGGUGUGUAGAACGUUCGGCGUGUUGUCUUGAUUGGCGAGGCUGAGCAUCUGUGGUAGGGACGUGGUGUUGUCAGUGGUGGUAUCCUUCCCUGUGUGAUGUGUGAACCCUGGGUAUUUUUCGUUUCAUCCAUCACCUGUGUGUGUGAUUUUAUUCACCUGGUGACCUCUCCCUGUUCCUCCCCUCUGGUGACACAUCCUGCCACAUGGUAAGCAACAGCCUCUGCCCCUUUGCACCUCCCUCCCCUUGUUUUAUCUAGUUGUUUUAAUAGAUUUUAACUUGAUUGUCAAAUAAAAUUUGAUUACUUAAUUGAGCGACCACGUCUCUUGCCUGGUGGUAUACGGACCUGUGUGCCUCAGACAAAUUAUUAAGAGGUAGAACUGUCCUUGGGGGUGAACCCCCCCGAGGUGGCGCUGUCGAGCUUAGCUUAAGAGCUACUGGGCAAUUUGACCCUGGCCUUGGCUCUAAACUCUCCCUGUUAUUCUGUAGCCCUCCUAGCUUGCUGCUACUACACUCGCCACACACAGAUGUAGGAGAUAAUAGAACAAUAAGACAGAACAUUUAUCAGCAGAAGAUCUGUAAGUUUUACUGCAACGCCUCAGACGGAAACCUCCAGAAAAAAACAAUGAAACAUGUCAAGGACAAAAUUAUUAGAAUAAAAGACUUAUGAGAAAAAAAUACACUGAAGAUAUUCAUAUCAUCGUGCUUUGCUGUCAUAUAUAGAUAAAUCUCAGGUUUUAGUCAUGAUUUCUUAUUUCUUAUUAUUUAUUAAACCGUUCAACAAUGAAAUCAACACAUAGAAUACGGUUUCAAUGCACAUUCUGAGGAUUAAAUCUGAAUAUUUGGCUUUUUUUUCUUCAAAUGAAAUACAGUUCACAUAACGGAAAUCCAAAAAGCAAGAAUUUUACACUCUGGUUGGUUUGUGCUGAAUGUAUUUAUAAAAAAAAAAAAAAAAAAGUUUUUUCUUUCAAAAUAAGCUGUAGUGACACUUUUUUCACAAUAAAAUGCUUAAUUUCAGUUGAUAUCGGUAAUUAUUGAUCAUUUUUAAUGAUAGAUUUUUAGUAAAGACCAGGAAAAAAUGGUUUAAAUUGGAUUAAACAUCUUCAGCCAAAAAGAAGGAGAGGAGGAGGAGGAAGAAGACGAGGAAGAAAAAGGAGAGGAGGAGGAAAAGAAAAAGAGGUAUAAUAAGAAGUUAAAAAAACAAUAUUCAUUUUGCAUUUUUUUAAAAAAGCAAAAAAAAAGUACAAAUUCUGUAAAAUAAAGGUACCUCAAUUCAUAGGCAUUUCUAGCCCCUAAAUUGAAUCCCAGCACCCCUAAAAUUUGAGAGAUUUUUUUUUUUUGUAUUGCAUGUCCUUUUUUUUUUUUUUUUUUUUUUAACAAACCAGAAAAGUGUAAAAACCAUUUUGAUCCUACCCAACUUUCCCACCUGGGCUCUGAGCUUCUACCUGCACAGAGCUCAGCUGCCUCCCAGAGAUGUGACGUCGUGGUGGAAGUAGCUGCUUUAAACCAGGAGAUGUGGCACAAUUCUGAACUUCUACCACCCAAUACCAACUCAUUAUUAUCAUUACAAGUCCUCAUUUCUGCUGCAUUUAAUCACAGGUUACUGUUUAUGUUGUUAGCUAGGAGUUAGCUGAUGUUUUUUCUAGAUAGCAAACGUUCCAGGUGGUCAGUGUCUGAACUGGACUGAGAGGUGUGUGUGUGUGUGUGUGUGUGUGUGUGUGUGUGUGUGCGUGCGUGCGUGCGUGCGUGCGUGCGUGCGUGCGUGCGUGCGUGCGUGCGUGCGUGCGUGCGUGCGUGCGUGCGUGCGUGCGUGCGUGCGUGCGUGCGCGCGCGCGCACAGACAGACAAACAGCCUCAUCAUGGACAUAAGAUUGUUUUUUCCAAAAAAAGAGCCAGGUUCAGGUAAGAGUGUCAGAUCAGAUGGUCUAUCAGGACUAAUGUUGUAAGUUGGAUCAAUGUUUAUUUCUGUUAUUAGAUAGAAAACACAUUGUUUGGUUAUUUGCCUUUAGGUUGACAGUACAAAGAGAGAGAGUACGUUAUUUAUUCGUAUUCUUAUUGGUAUUUUUUCAUAUUUAUGUAAUUUUUCAUCUAGUUGAAUACAAUCUAUUUGUGUAUGAUUGUCAUUCCAAAGAGGGAGAGAUGAAAAAGGGGAAGGAGAGGAGAGAGUUUAAGGUCAGGAAGAACCAGGUAAGAAAACAACCAGAGAAUAGUGGCAGAAAAACAGCAACUGUUAAGCUGACAAGCAUUUAAAGAACCUUUAUCAGAUUGGAUGGUUUAGUCUCAGACUUUUUCUUUCACAAAUGUGGGAAUGAAAUUGCGUUAAAAUGUACAAAACAGUGAACUUUAUCUUGCCUGUCCGGGAACCUCUGGGUUCUCAGCAACUCCUCAGUAAGGAAAGCAGCUAUUGGCUGUCCUAAAAGUCGCUAAAUGAUGUCAUCGCCUAAUUUGCAUCAUUUCCUGUUUGCAUGUAAUUGUAAUCAACGUUGUAGGAGAGACAGAAAGUGAGUUUAAAACACCCAAAAUCUGUUUCUGAACUAGAGGCUGAAUGCAGUGAUUUAUUUUAGUGACAGUGAAGAAACAUUUUCAUUUCCAUCCCGCUCUGUAAGCAGGAUGGAUCUGCAGAGACUUUGAUUCAUCUGCCGUCUGGACAUGGAGUGAUGUGGGUCUCCUCUAAUCAGACAGUGGGAUGCUGCAAGUCACUAGACUGACCUCCUGUGCUUUGGAAGGGGAGGAGCUCACAGCGCCACCUGCUGCUCGUUGAGGACAGUAACUGCAGAACGAUCCCAGCUUUCAUGUCAGACAGGGGCGGAUCCAGAUUAAUUUUAGUGGGGGGGCACAGGGGGGUACAACAGAUAUUUUGGGGGGGUUGUAAGAAAAAAUUAAAGCUGCUACCGACCUCUCGCUUUUACAAAGUAUUUUUCAUGUGUUUUUUGGCUCUUUAACCCAAUAGGAAAGCUGUAUAUGACCUUUUCAUUUUAGACUGUUAACAUUCAAAUUAUGAUGGACUUGUUUAUGUGAAUUACAACAUCAUUAGCUGCAACAUCUGCCUGUUCUGUAAAACUGGUAGCUCAACGACAGCAUCCUGAGGGCAAUUAAGUGACAAAUAUUGUGCAAGAACAGCACUAUUACAACCCUGUCAAUUUCCACAAUGUUUACUGCCAAUUAUCACACAUAAAACAAGAAAUAAUAUUCUGUACUAAUACUUCUCUACUACCCAAUACACAGUGAAUAAAUAUUAUCUGAAAGUCGGGUUAUUGUUUUUUAUCAGCACAAUACAAAAAGAUUCAUGUUAGACAUAUUCCAGUUAAGACUAGAAUAUCAGGAUUUAUGUAAAUUUACCUCAAUAAUAUGAAUGUUCAGGUUAAGAUUGUACAGUGAUAUUUAUUAUGCAAGUUUAGCUGAUUAAAGUUUAUGACUCUGCACUACAAUAUUAUUUAUUAUUUAAAUUGACAUCAUUAUUAUAAUAUUUAGGGUCAGACUCUACAGUAUUGAGAUUAAGAAAUCAAAUAUUCUAUAAAAUGUAAAUACACUGAACUAAUCUGGAUAUAUUUAAGUGAGACUCUACAAUAUUAUUUAUGACACAAAUCUAUCUAAAUCAACAUUUUAAUCAUUUCUUACUCCAAACAUUGACUGGACUGAUUUAAAUAUUAAAAUCACUCCUUUCUAAUCCUCUGCUGUACGUUCAAACCUGAGGCCUGAAAUAGAAACACACAAGUAUCUGAUUGAAGGAACUUCUGCAGAGUCCUGGUUCCAGAACAUGAUGAUAGAAUUAUAGACAAACUUUAACAAAAGCUGCCUGAGAGUUUACAGCUUUUUAUGUUAGAUUUCUUCAGUAAUUUAAUGAGAGUUAUCAGAAAAAAUCAAGUGUUCAUUUGAUGAACUUCAUUUCCUAAAACAUCCAGAAUUGGAGCUCAUAUCUUUGGCAGCUGUAAAGUUUCUGCUCCUUCAAAGUUCACAACACAAUGAAUGAAUUCCUAAAACACUCUCAGUGCUGGAGAGCGUUUGAUGCUGAAGCAGUGACCAGUUUUUCUGUUUCUUCUCUGGAGAUGCACAAUGAGGGACGUCUGCAGAGACUGAGAAAGAGUCUCAUCACAUCCUGACAUGAGGAAAAAGACUUCAUUGAAGACUACAAUGAGAAAAACUAUCAGACAGCAGACGGCUGCAUUCAAGGCUACAGGAGGAGCCCUACGAGGACGAGCCGGUCCACCUGAUGGCGGCCAGUCGCUGCGGUUCAAAGCCAACACCGACUACGUGGACUUCUACUGGACCACACGGAGGCCUUCAAACCGGACCAACAAGUUCAGCGACUCCCCGACUCGUGGGUCUGAGGACGCCGCCGAGCCUCGGUCCAGCCGGCCUCCUGUCUGUGGGUGUUUGAGUGCUGAGAGGUUUGUGGAUGCAUGUGAACGUUCUGUGUUGAAACAGCAGCUUUGGACUCAGUAACGCCGGGAAAAACCAAGAGCUCCUUUAUUUGUGACUUCCACUAAAAAAACUGAUGAAAAUAAGUUUGCCAGGGUUCUGACUGAUAACAGAUUAUUAAAUAAUGAAAAUAACUGUUUAAAUAUUCCUUUAAACAAUCCUUAGGUCUACAUUUCCUUUACACUGACUUCUUGGUAAAUGUACAAGUAUUUUUGGUGGAAUGUACCAUUAAGCCUAAUGUUCAAGGGUUCUUCUGGGAACAUACCAUUAAACCAACCUUUUAGGUAAAUGUUCCAGGAUGUUGGGUAGAAUAUACCAUCAGAUCAACCUUUUAGAUGUACAUUGGAAGAUUUUAGAGUGGAAUAUUACUCCAAACUCCUUUACACCAAGAUUUUUUGGUCUACAUUGAAGGAUUUUAGGUGGAAUAUUCCUUUGAACGAACUUUUUAAGUUUAUGUUCCAAGAUGUUGGGUGGAAUAUACCAUCAGACCAACCUCCAAGGUCUACAGUAGUGAAUUUUAGGUGGAAUAUACCAUUAAACUCACCUUUUAGGUCUACAUUGGAGGAUUUUAGGUGGAAUUUUCUUCCAAACAUCUUUUAGUCUACAUUUAAGGAUGUUUAGGAUGGUAUAUUCUUCCAAACCAACUUCUCAGGUCUACAUUUCAGGUGGAAUAUUCCUCCAUACUAUCUUUUUUGGUCUACAUUGAAGGAUUUUUUCUAAACCACCCUUUGGGGUCUAUAUUUGAGGUUUUAGGUGGAAUAUUCCUUUAAACCAACCUAAAUUUCAUGUUUUGAUCAUUAUCAAGUGAGAAACCUCAGUCCAGACUCCUCAUAACGACGUUUGAGAUUUAUGCUGCUGUUAUUUGUUUAGUCCAGACUAAAUGACAGAAAUCCACAACUGUAAUUUUAUUUCAGGACUCGGUUAUUAAAUGUCAAAACAAUCUAUGUGACUCUAAAAACUCAACAGCUUUACAAACUCUAAGAUUAAACUCUCCACAAGGAUCUAAAAUAGGUUGGACUUCUACAUGAGAGCUUUAAUUAUUCUUCAUCUACUUCCUGAAAAGUUUGGUCAAUAAAAAAGACAAAAACUAAUAUUUUCAGCUGAACUAAAGACAGACUUUGUGAUUUUUCUGCUCACAUGUUGUGUUGUUGUAAACUUCCUCUUUCAAAUAAAUAGCCUC
Molecule: long non-coding RNA, 5672 nt
Organism: Amphiprion ocellaris (clown anemonefish)
Lineage: Eukaryota; Metazoa; Chordata; Actinopteri; Pomacentridae
Source: Ensembl